ACGCUGGCGGCGCACAUAAGACAUGCAAGUCGAACGAACUUAAUUGAGAGCUUGCUCUCAAAGCGGUUAGUGGCGGACUGGUGAGUAACACGUAAGCAACCUGCCUAUUAGAGGGGAAUAACAGCGAGAAAUCGUUGCUAAUACCGCAUAUGCUGUGAGUAUCGCAUGAUACAAGCAGGAAAGGAGCAAUCCGCUAAUAGAUGGGCUUGCGUCUGAUUAGUUAGUUGGUGGGGUAACGGCCUACCAAGACGAUGAUCAGUAGCCGGACUGAGAGGUUGAACGGCCACAUUGGGACUGAGAUACGGCCCAGACUCCUACGGGAGGCAGCAGUCGGGAAUAUUGCGCAAUGGAGGAAACUCUGACGCAGUGACGCCGCGUGCAGGAAGAAGGUUUUCGGAUUGUAAACUGCUUUUAACAGGAAAGAAAAAAUGACGGUACCUGUUGAAUAAGCUCCGGCUAACUACGUGCCAGCAGCCGCGGUAAUACGUAGGGAGCGAGCGUUAUCCGGAUUUAUUGGGUGUAAAGGGUGCGUAGACGGAAAUGCAAGUUAGUUGUGAAAUACCUCGGCUUAACUGAGAAACUGCAACUAGAACUAUAUUUCUUGAGUAUCGGAGGGGUUUGUGGAAUUCCUAGUGUAGCGGUGAAAUGCGUAGAUAUUAGGAAGAACACCGGUGGCGAAGGCGACAAACUGGACGAUAACUGACGUUGAGGCACGAAAGUGUGGGGAGCAAACAGGAUUAGAUACCCUGGUAGUCCACACCGUAAACGAUGGAUACUAGGUGUUGGCAAUGAAUAAUUGUCGGUGCCGGCGCUAACGCAAUAAGUAUCCCACCUGGGGAGUACGACCGCAAGGUUGAAACUCAAAGGAAUUGACGGGGGCCCGCACAAGCAGUGGAGUAUGUGGUUUAAUUCGAAGAUA
This 919-nucleotide ribosomal RNA is filed under the name uncultured bacterium. RNAcentral's name for it is "bacterial SSU rRNA". It matches the Rfam family "Bacterial small subunit ribosomal RNA", at positions 33 to 959 of the family's 1533-position model. The record is from RNAcentral.